UACGUAGGUGGCGAGCGUUGUCCGGAUUUAUUGGGUUUAAAGGGUGCGUAGGCGGCUUAUUAAGUCAGUGGUGAAAUAUCGCAGCUCAACUGUGAGGGUGCCAUUGAUACUGAUGAGCUUGAGUCAAGUCGAGGUAGGCGGAAUUGACGGUGUAGCGGUGAAAUGCUUAGAUAUCGUCAAGAACACCGAUAGUGAAGACAGCUUACUAGGCUUGAACUGACGCUGAGGCACGAAAGUGUGGGGAUCAAACAGG
Molecule: ribosomal RNA, 253 nt
Filed under: uncultured bacterium
Lineage: Bacteria
Description: partial 16S ribosomal RNA
Rfam family: Bacterial small subunit ribosomal RNA
Source: RNAcentral